CAUGCAAGUCGAACGAGCGAGAGAGAGCUUGCUUUCUCAAGCGAGUGGCGAACGGGUGAGUAACGCGUGAGGAACCUGCCUCAAAGAGGGGGACAACAGUUGGAAACGACUGCUAAUACCGCAUAAGCCCACGACCCGGCAUCGGGUUGAGGGAAAAGGAGUAAUCCGCUUUGAGAUGGCCUCGCGUCCGAUUAGCUAGUUGGUGAGGUAACGGCCCACCAAGGCGACGAUCGGUAGCCGGACUGAGAGGUUGAACGGCCACAUUGGGACUGAGACACGGCCCAGACUCCUACGGGAGGCAGCAGUGGGGAAUAUUGCACAAUGGGGGAAACCCUGAUGCAGCGACGCCGCGUGGAGGAAGAAGGUCUUCGGAUUGUAAACUCCUGUUGUUGGGGAAGAUAAUGACGGUACCCAACAAGGAAGUGACGGCUAACUACGUGCCAGCAGCCGCGGUAAAACGUAGGUCACAAGCGUUGUCCGGAAUUACUGGGUGUAAAGGGAGCGCAGGCGGGAAGACAAGUUGGAAGUGAAAUCCAUGGGCUCAACCCAUGAACUGCUUUCAAAACUGUUUUUCUUGAGUAGUGCAGAGGUAGGCGGAAUUCCCGGUGUAGCGGUGGAAUGCGUAGAUAUCGGGAGGAACACCAGUGGCGAAGGCGGCCUACUGGGCACCAACUGACGCUGAGGCUCGAAAGUGUGGGUAGCAAACAGGAUUAGAUACCCUGGUAGUCCACACCGUAAACGAUGAUUACUAGGUGUUGGAGGAUUGACCCCUUCAGUGCCGCAGUUAACACAAUAAGUAAUCCACCUGGGGAGUACGACCGCAAGGUUGAAACUCAAAGGAAUUGACGGGGGCCCGCACAAGCAGUGGAGUAUGUGGUUUAAUUCGACGCAACGCGAA
This 898-nucleotide ribosomal RNA is filed under the name uncultured bacterium. RNAcentral's name for it is "bacterial SSU rRNA". It matches the Rfam family "Bacterial small subunit ribosomal RNA", at positions 54 to 965 of the family's 1533-position model. The record is from RNAcentral.